UGGGGGAUAUUGCACAAUGGGCGAAAGCCUGAUGCAGCGACGCCGCGUGGGGGAUGAAGGCCUUCGGGUUGUAAACUUCUUUUGCUCUGAACAAGGCAUGCCUUUGGGGUGUGUUGAGUGUAGGGGUUGAUUAGCGCCGGCUAACUACGUGCCAGCAGCCGCGGUAAUACGUAGGGCGCGAGCGUUGUCCGGAAUUAUUGGGCGUAAAGGGCUUGUAGGUGGCUGGUUGCGUCUGUCGUGAAAGCUCAAGGCUUAACUGUGGGUUUGCGGUGGGUACGGGCUGGCUUGAGUGCAGUAGGGGAGGCUGGAAUUCCUGGUGUAGCGGUGGAAUGCGCAGAUAUCAGGAGGAAUACCGGUGGCGAAGGCGGGUCUCUGGGCUGUUACUGACGCUGAGGAGCGAAAGCGUGGGGAGCGAACAGG
RNAcentral lists this ribosomal RNA (420 nucleotides) under Fusobacteriota bacterium. RNAcentral's name for it is "Fusobacteria bacterium partial 16S ribosomal RNA". It matches the Rfam family "Bacterial small subunit ribosomal RNA", at positions 355 to 776 of the family's 1533-position model. Lineage: Bacteria; Fusobacteriati; Fusobacteriota. The record is from RNAcentral.